This 484-nucleotide ribosomal RNA is filed under the name uncultured bacterium. RNAcentral describes it as "partial 16S ribosomal RNA". It matches the Rfam family "Bacterial small subunit ribosomal RNA", at positions 30 to 507 of the family's 1533-position model. The record is from RNAcentral.
AUUGAACGCUGGCGGCAUGCCUUACACAUGCAAGUCGAACGGUAACAGGCCGCUUGCUGCUGGCGUCUGCCGCACGCGUGAGUAUUAUAUCUGAAAAUGUCCCUUCUUGUGGGAUAUAUACUCCGAAGAGUAGCUCAUAUAGCAUACGCUCUAUGAGUGAGAGCGGGGGGGCUUAUCGGACCUCGCGAUUUCAGCUGACCCUAGGUCGGAUUAGCUAGUUGGUGGGGUAAAGGCUCACCAAGGCCACGAUCUGUAUCUGGUCUGAGAGGAUGACCAGCCACACUGGAACUGAGACACGGUCCAGACUCCUACGGGAGGCAGCAGUGGGGAAUAUUGGACAAUGGGCGCAAGCCUGAUCCAGCAAUGCCGCGUGUAGGAAGAAGGUCUUCGGGUUGUAAAGUGCUUUUGGAUGGAAGGAAAGGGAGUUAGUUAAUACCCGGCGCUAAUGACGGUACCGUAAGAAUAAGCACCGGCUAACUACGUG